GCUUACAGCCAUAUCAUGUUGAAACCAUCAGUUCUCGUCUGAUCACUGAAGUUAAGCAAUGUUGAGCCUAGUUAGUACUUAGAUGGGUGACCACUUGGGAAACCUAGGUGCUGUAAGUG
RNAcentral lists this ribosomal RNA (119 nucleotides) under Octopus vulgaris (common octopus). Lineage: Eukaryota; Metazoa; Mollusca; Cephalopoda; Octopoda; Octopodidae. The record is from RNAcentral. RNAcentral also lists the same sequence under 1 other name.